AUUGCCCCAGUAACGGCGAGUGAAGCGGCAAAAGCUCAAAUUUGAAAUCCUUCGGGAGUUGUAAUUUGUAGGUGGAAGAUUCCGCAGCCAUCGAGAUAAGUCCCUUGGAACAGGGCGCCUUGGAGGGUGAGAGCCCCGUAAUCUCUUUUUGGCUUGUCAACAUCUUCCUCCCAAGAGUCGAGUUGUUUGGGAAUGCAGCUCUAAGUGGGUGGUAAAUUCCAUCUAAAGCUAAAUACCGGCGAGAGACCGAUAGCGAACAAGUACAGUGAUGGAAAGAUGAAAAGCACUUUGAAAAGAGAGUGAAACAGUACGUGAAAUUGUUGAAAGGGAAGGGCUUGCAAGCAGACACGGCCUCGGCCGGGCCAGCAUCGGUUGCGCAGGGUGGACAAGGAGCCAGGAACGUAGCUCACUCGUGAGUGUUAUAUCCGGGCGCGAUACACCCACGCGCGACCGAGGCCUGCGGUAUUCUAGGAUGCUGGCGUAAUGGUUGCAAGCC
RNAcentral lists this ribosomal RNA (496 nucleotides) under [Candida] sp. CLIB 1741. Its description in RNAcentral is "eukaryotic LSU rRNA". It matches the Rfam family "Eukaryotic large subunit ribosomal RNA", at positions 74 to 646 of the family's 3401-position model. Lineage: Eukaryota; Fungi; Ascomycota; Pichiomycetes; Serinales; Metschnikowiaceae. The record is from RNAcentral.